CAUCGAGACUCCUACGGGAGGCAGCAGUGGGGGAAUAUUGCACAAUGGGCGCAAGCCUGAUGCAGCCAUGCCGCGUGUAUGAAGAAGGCCUUCGGGUUGUAAAGUACUUUCAGCAGUGAGGAAGGCGGCGUCGUUAAUAGCGGCGUUGUUCGACGUUAGCGACAGAAGAAGCACCGGCUAACUCCGUGCCAGCAGCCGCGGUAAUACGGAGGGUGCGAGCGUUAAUCGGAAUUACUGGGCGUAAAGCGCAUGCAGGUGGUUUGUUAAGUCAGAUGUGAAAGCCCCGGGGCUCAACCUCGGAAUUGCAUUUGAAACUGGCAGACUAGAGUACUGUAGAGGGGGUAGAAUUUCAGGUGUAGCGGUGAAAUGCGUAGAGAUCUGAAGGAAUACCGGUGGCGAAGGCGGCCCCCUGGACAGAUACUGACACUCAGAUGCGAAAGCGUGGGGAGCAAACAGGAUUAGAUACCCUGGUAG
RNAcentral lists this ribosomal RNA (474 nucleotides) under uncultured bacterium. Its description in RNAcentral is "bacterial SSU rRNA". It matches the Rfam family "Bacterial small subunit ribosomal RNA", at positions 328 to 793 of the family's 1533-position model. The record is from RNAcentral.